This 273-nucleotide ribosomal RNA is filed under the name uncultured bacterium. Its description in RNAcentral is "partial 16S ribosomal RNA". It matches the Rfam family "Bacterial small subunit ribosomal RNA", at positions 524 to 796 of the family's 1533-position model. The record is from RNAcentral.
UACGGAGGGUGCAAGCGUUGUCCGGAUUUAUUGGGUUUAAAGGGUGCGUAGGCGGCUAAUUAAGUCAGUGGUGAAAGCCUGUAGCUCAACUAUAGAAUUGCCAUUGAUACUGAUUAGCUUGAGUUUGGUUGAGGUAGGCGGAAUGGAUGGUGUAGCGGUGAAAUGCAUAGAUAUCAUCCAGAACACCGAUAGCGAAGGCAGCUUACUGAGCCGAAACUGACGCUGAGGCACGAAAGCAUGGGGAUCGAACAGGAUUAGAAACCCGCGUAGUCC